GCCAGGCAUGGUGGCACAUGCCUGUAAUCCCAGAGACUCAGGAGGCUGAGGCAGGAGGAUCACAAGUUGAAAGUCAGGCCCUAAGCAACUUAGUGAAACCCUUUCUCAA
This 109-nucleotide small RNA is filed under the name Marmota monax (woodchuck). Lineage: Eukaryota; Metazoa; Chordata; Mammalia; Rodentia; Sciuridae. The record is from RNAcentral.